CUGUAGUUCAACGGAUAGAACUACGGACUCCUAAGCCGUAAAUAUAGGUUCGACUCCUAUCAGGGG
This 66-nucleotide transfer RNA is filed under the name marine eukaryotic metagenome. It matches the Rfam family "tRNA", at positions 5 to 66 of the family's 71-position model. Rfam says of the family: Transfer RNA (tRNA) molecules are approximately 80 nucleotides in length. Their secondary structure includes four short double-helical elements and three loops (D, anti-codon, and T loops). Further hydrogen bonds mediate the characteristic L-shaped molecular structure. tRNAs have two regions of fundamental functional importance: the anti-codon, which is responsible for specific mRNA codon recognition, and the 3' end, to which the tRNAs corresponding amino acid is attached (by aminoacyl-tRNA synthetases). tRNAs cope with the degeneracy of the genetic code in two manners: having more than one tRNA (with a specific anti-codon) for a particular amino acid; and 'wobble' base-pairing, i.e. permitting non-standard base-pairing at the 3rd anti-codon position. The record is from RNAcentral.